Molecule: long non-coding RNA, 3387 nt
Organism: Ziziphus jujuba (common jujube)
Lineage: Eukaryota; Viridiplantae; Streptophyta; Magnoliopsida; Rosales; Rhamnaceae
Exons: 5
Source: RefSeq, a predicted model, not a curated record
AUUUACAUUGCGUUUGGAUACAAUGUGAGAUGCCUUAGGACAAUGUAUAAAGCUUGCUAAAGAAGCUUCUAACUGCAUUUUUAGUCCACCAUAAUCACUAGUUAUUACCCAUAAGUUAAUUAUUCUGAAUUUGCUUACGAUGUUUAUAUAAGGGUUUGGGUUCAAUUAAAAGGGUUUUUUGGGUAUGAAUGAGGUUUUUUUUUUUUUUUUUUUCCUUGUUUUAUAGUAAAUUUUAGGCUUAUGUUUUUGGGAAUUAUAAGUUAAAUAUUUGCAAUGGUAUUAAUAGUAUUGGUAUAAUAAGGAAAUCACAGUCAAAUCGUCCAUUGAAGCUCUAUUCCUACUGAAGGAGGAGCUCAUGCUAUUUUUGAGUUCGAAUCGCCCUCAAUCUCAUAAGGAAUCGAGUAUGACUAUAUAGCAAUCAUCAUAGUAAAAGGAGAACAAUUCAGUCCAGGCUGCAAAUAUUGUUUCCUCAAGUAUACAACCUCUUCAAAAUCUAGCAGUACUGGUCAAUACCUUGAUUGGCUUAUUGCUAUUACACCAUCACACAUGCUUGAUAGUUGAAGUUAUAUAGAUGUUUGGAGGGCAUUGUUCUACUGUAUACUGAUACAUAUGUUGUAGUGUUGUUUCUGGUUUACAGAAGUACAUUGAAGAAAAAAUUAGUCGGAUGAGAAACUUCUUGGGGUUCAAUAUCAUAUCGGAAAGGGCAUUGCUUGUACCUUUUGAUUAAUUAGCGGUGGCUGAAUGGGUUUAAAGAAGAGGACUUUUAAAGCACUUGAAAAGCUGCUCAAAGACUGUGCUGGAAGAUAUGCAACCGGGGAUGAAUUUUUCUGGUUUGGAAACUUGCAGAUACACAUCAUGUAACAUGUUGUCUGAUGCUUUUCUUCGGGCAACGUGUUGCCUGAUGUGGACAUAAGCAAGUUAUUACUUGUGGAUGUCCGCAGAAGGAAAAAAUUUAUACAAGCAAUAUGUAUCACAACUUAAUUACUAAACCAAUACCUAAGCAAAGAUUUAUCAAGACAAAGUCCUAGUUGCUAUUAGCUUGUCGAAGAUUUUUUUAUCCACAGAAGUUCACAUGCUGUGUUAGCCAUUGCCUGAUGUUCCUGUAGGCCUUUCUAGGUUUUAAGUAAUUAAGUUUCCACAUUACAUAUGAAGGUAGAAGACCCAGUAGUAGAUUGUUUCUAGUAAAACCUGGCCAGUCAGCAUUGACAAUAGCCUUCAAUACUUAAUUAACUUGAAUUCCCUAUUUAGGACUACUCUCAAACCUAGAGUCCCUUCUAGUUCAAGAUAUGGAAGAACUCUGCAUAUUGCUUCCCAAUUAAUUUGUCUUGGGAUUAAGGCGAGGUAUUUAGGGUCAAGGCAGAGUGUAGCAGUGUGUUUGUGGUUGUUUAGGAGUAGAGGCAAAUUGUUUUGGGUUUUAAGAGAACUUCAGAAGUUUGUUAGAACAUGGCAGAAAGGCUUAAGUUUACUAGGCAAAGUGCUUUAUUACAAUGUUGGAGUGUUAUAAAAUAAAGGAGGGAAAGAUGGAAUAAAUAGACUACAUCUUGAUUUAGGAGUUUCACAUAUGUAUAGGAUUGAUGAAAAUUUAAAUAUAGCUUCUAUCAUUUUAAACAUAGCUAUAACUAAACCCUUUUAUCCUCUUCCCUGCAAGCUGGGGUGUCGGGGCACUGUGGCCAAUAUAUGUUGUAGACCUUUCUUGAAAGAUAAGAAGUUGAAAAUUCCACAUCCUCAUGGUUGUAUUGGAUGUCUUCAAUUUGAUCUUCUGACUUGACAUGUGGAGUUAUUUAAUUGUUUCUCAUGUCAGUAAACUAUAAGAAUGACCAUACCUGAUCUUUGUUUGAGAACAAAAGACUGAAUAAUCUGAUUUGAUUCAAUAAAAUCGUUAAGCUAUCAACGCUGAAUGACAUAACCAUGCUCCAGACUCUCCUGCAGUAGCAGAAAAAUUCGAAAACAAAGACCACCACAUUCUUCAAUCUAAGGUUGUAGGAGUUCACAAACAUACUAAUAGAACAUAAAAUCUUGAUAAACUGACAGUAGAAGAUUAACAGCUGGUGGUUUUAGAGGAAAAUAUGAUUAACAUGAUGAUGGUAGGAGUAAACAGGGGACAGCACACAUCAGAAUGCAUGGUUAAAAGUAGCAGGCAGUUAGCAGACGGUAGUACUGAACAGUUGCAUAUUCUUCUUUUGGUAGGCAGCAGUACAUGACAUAAUUCUUGACCAUCAAAAUGACAAGGAGAAACUUAAACAGCCACAAAAUUAAAUGAUUGAGUUUGGUGGCUUAUGGCUGUAUGAGAAGCAACAAAUAGAGGAAUAUAUUAAUUUUCAGGUGUGCAGGAAAGUUGAACAGUUGCAAGAAACAGAUAAGCUAGGAUAAGCUACUGCAGUUGACAAUUGUUGAAACCAGCUAGCUUUCUGCAGGGAAGAUAACACGGAAGUAGAUAUCAGAACAGUAUAGGACGUUAGGAUAAAUUUAUGAGGGAACAGAGAGGAUGCUGCUGGUUAGUAAGCCACUGAAACUUGUAGAAACAUGGUGCUUUUGUUGCAGGGCUGCAGCAGGAUUAGUUUAGGUAUAAGGAAUUAUAGCACAGGUAGUGAUUCUUCUAAAAUGGAGGAUUUCCUGAAUCAUUUUAAGUUAUUUUUGUGACCAACGCACUCUUGGGUAGAGAUAGCAAUUAUAACACAAAAUCUGGUAGAGUAGUCAUAGGAACACCAUAACUUCGCCAUACCAGUAGAGAGAAGAUACUAUAGGUACUUAUUUAUUUAUUUUACUUCCUUAAAAUUUUCUUUUCAGUCUGCACUACAAAGCUUUUGAUCAUUCAUUAACUUAAGAGUGGAGAAUGAACCAUAACUGAAGAUAAGCCAGUAAACAGUAUCAAUCAUUAUACCUUUCAAGUUAAACAAAACCCAAUAUUGAAGGGGAAUUUCUAUCAUUUAAAUCUUCAAGAAAAAUAUGGAUCCGCUUAAAAGCACUGUAUAGUUGUUAGCUAAAUAUAUUUCCAAGUUUAUCCUAUAAGAUAUGUCAAAAGCCUAUUUGCUUAGUUGCUACUACAGUUAUUGUUUUUUUCCUCUUUCUUUUCUGGGUGUCUGGGCUUCCAUCUGUUGUUUUUGUUGGAAUGUAACCUGCUGUGCUGGCGUGGAGGUCAAUGCAGAUGUGGAUAAAAGAGGAUGCAUAUGUGUAUUUCACAGUGGCUCAUAUGCCAUGUGUCAUAGAAGUCACUAGAAGAAUGAAUGUGUGAGUACGUGAAAGUGUGAGAGAGAGAAAAUACAGAUUUAUGCUUUAUAACAAAUUUGUAAUCAUUGCAUUUAUUAUGUAAGCAAAAAUAUUUUUGUUUUUAUUGUUACAUUGAGAAAAUAUGAAAUAUACAAGCAGAGCUCACGUUUUCUCUCCUCU